GUGAUCAUUUCUUAACAAUUACUUUAUCAUAUGGGGAUGAUACAGAGAAGAUUAGCAUAACCCCUACGCAAGGAUGACAUGCAAAUUCAUGAAUUGUUCCAUAAAAAA
Small nuclear RNA from Propithecus coquereli (Coquerel's sifaka), 108 nucleotides. Lineage: Eukaryota; Metazoa; Chordata; Mammalia; Primates; Indriidae. The record is from Ensembl.